GAUGAACGCUAGCUACAGGCUUAACACAUGCAAGUCGAGGGGAAACGGCAUUGAGUGCUUGCACUCUUUGGACGUCGACCGGCGCACGGGUGAGUAACGCGUAUCCAACCUUCCCAUUACUGUGGGAUAACCUGCCGAAAGGCAGACUAAUACCGCAUAGUCUUCGAUGACGGCAUCAGAUUUGAAGUAAAGAUUUAUCGGUAAUGGAUGGGGAUGCGUCUGAUUAGCUUGUUGGCGGGGUAACGGCCCACCAAGGCAACGAUCAGUAGGGGUUCUGAGAGGAAGGUCCCCCACAUUGGAACUGAGACACGGUCCAAACUCCUACGGGAGGCAGCAGUGAGGAAUAUUGGUCAAUGGACGGAAGUCUGAACCAGCCAAGUAGCGUGCAGGAUGACGGCCCUAUGGGUUGUAAACUGCUCUUGUAUGGGGAUAAAGUUAGGGACGUGUCCCUAUUUGCAGGUACCAUACGAAUAAGGACCGGCUAAUUCCGUGCCAGCAGCCGCGGUAAUACGGAAGGUCCAGGCGUUAUCCGGAUUUAUUGGGUUUAAAGGGAGCGUAGGCUGGAGAUUAAGUGUGUUGUGAAAUGUAGACGCUCAACGUCUGAAUUGCAGCGCAUACUGGUUUCCUUGAGUACGCACAACGUUGGCGGAAUUCGUCGUGUAGCGGUGAAAUGCUUAGAUAUGACGAAGAACUCCGAUUGCGAAGGCAGCUGACGGGAGCGCAACUGACGCUUAAGCUCGAAGGUGCGGGUAUCAAACAGG
RNAcentral lists this ribosomal RNA (761 nucleotides) under Prevotella melaninogenica. RNAcentral's name for it is "bacterial SSU rRNA". It matches the Rfam family "Bacterial small subunit ribosomal RNA", at positions 28 to 776 of the family's 1533-position model. The record is from RNAcentral. Lineage: Bacteria; Pseudomonadati; Bacteroidota; Bacteroidia; Bacteroidales; Prevotellaceae.